CAUAGACUCCCACUUAGUGUGGGAGCCGCAGAGGUGCUGAGGCAGGCUGGGGUUACCAAGUCACCAGCACCCCCGCCACCCAUCUUGCUGAGGCUCCUGCAGUCCUCUCUCCCGGAGCGAAGGGCAGCCCUGGGGUGUGACUGGGGGUUCCCAUCCCCAUGCCACCCCGGAGUUUUCAAAAGAGAAUAGGAGAGAGUAAGCUAUGGCGAGAGUGGCCUGCUGGGUUCUCCAGUGACCCCGGCGUCCAUCUUCGGGGAGGCACACACUCGCGAGGAGGCACAGUGCAGAGGCUAGGAGCAUGCUCACUGCAGGACAGCACUUCCGGGUCUGGGCCCAGCCCACACUAGUCCCUUACCCUCUCCAGUGCUGGUUUUCCAUUGGCCAGCGGGAGUCACUGCUGUUUCCACAGAAGCUGUUUGGAAGGAACACAUGAGUUAGUCUCUGAAGAACUUGGGGCAGCUCUGGGAGGAGCUAAGUACCGUCUGCAGGAUGAAAUCCACAAGGAAAAGGGCAAAGGUCUCGUUUCCGUCUGGCUGACCCUCCGGAGAGAGCCCACAGACCCUCUACCAGCCAGGGAGGAGCAGACGGGGCAGGUGAGGUGGCCGCUGAUUAAAGUUCCAGUGUUUGGACAGAAUAUUUAAGAAGAAACCCUGUUAUGAGAAAUGCUGGAAGAGAGUUUCUAUGCUGGACAUGGAAACGACACCGUCACAACCUGACGCAGACUCUGAGUGACUAUGAAGAUGUUACCUGUCUGUGAGCCCAUCACUGUGGAAAAUAUCACAAGCCAACAUUUGUAAUUCCUGCACACCCAAUUCUACAUGCAAUACGCCUGGUAUCACUGCCGUACGUCCUCACAGGCCCUGUCACCAGCCCACUAGGCCAAGGCCACUCUCCUGGGAAGAUCAAGACUAGAAGUCCAGCACGCUUCUGCUGGACGUAAGCAGGAAGUCCGUGGUCGGCUCCCUGGGGAGAUACGAAGUGUCAGCCAAGCUCUGCAUCCUGGGAGGAAGCCCCUGCUCUCCCGGUCCUGGGCAGCUGCGUCCCUCCACCACCCCCUCCACUCCGGGCUGCACAGGUCCCUCUCCUGCUGGACCUGUGUCUACAUGGAGCCCCCUUCCAGGGCACACAACCACACUAUCCAGGACGAGCAUCCUCAUGGUAAUCCUCCUGCAAGCCCCCUCCCCACCAGGCGAUGCCCCCAGAAGCCACAGAUAGGGCGCGGAGCUCUCCGAGGGGCGCCACCUGGCCUAGCACAGUUUCUGGGUCCCUUGCCUUGCCUGAGUCAUGGAGCUGGUGGGUUUGGUGUACGUGUUCUGUCUGUGCUUUGA
This 1328-nucleotide long non-coding RNA is filed under the name Fukomys damarensis (Damara mole-rat). Its description in RNAcentral is "lncRNA (ENSFDAG00000027362.1)". Lineage: Eukaryota; Metazoa; Chordata; Mammalia; Rodentia; Bathyergidae. The record is from RNAcentral.